Clupea harengus (Atlantic herring) is the source of this 6736-nucleotide long non-coding RNA. NCBI's taxonomy places the organism in Eukaryota, Metazoa, Chordata, Actinopteri, Clupeiformes, Clupeidae. The record is from Ensembl.
UCAUGGGUUUAAAGUUUGAAAUAACCUCCAGUGGUGAUACAGACUUAGGGCUAAAGUCCUUUCCCUCCGGUCCAUUGGUGACACCUUUUGUCUGUUAUGACUCAGAGACAUGCUAAAGGAUGGCCUGGACAACAAGAUUCCUGUCUUAGAGAAGGGCAAGGGGGAGGGGGACGACUACAUCUAGGGUCUGGUGUUUCCCUUUGCUGUGUGUGGUGUCAUCAUGACAAGGUCUAAAGAAAAAAAGGGUUGUGGAUGCCUAUGAGUCUGGCAAGGGAUUUUUUAGAAGAUCUGUAAGGAAAAUGAUCUACAAGUGGCAGAUUUGGCCCUUUGAGAUUGAGAACGACUGCUAAUUUGUCCAGGACCGGUCACCCCAGCAAAUUCAGCCAGAAAGCAGACCAGUUGAUGGCAAAAAAUAAUAAUAAUAAUAACGCGAACAUUUCAUCACAGGACCAGGACAAAGCACUUGCUGUCCAAAAAGAACAUGGUUGCCAGUGCACAUAUAGGCAAAGACCAGGCCUUUUGGAAUAGUGUGCUCUGGACAGACAAAUCAAAGAUGUGUUUGUAACCCAUAGUAACCAUACAUGUUUAGCACAGACCAAAGACAGCUUUUCAGGAGAAGAACCUCAUACCAGCCUGCAGUCAUUGAUUCAGCAUCAUAUCAAAGAGUGCCUAAAGAUAACGUGAGGCCAUCUCUCCGAAAAGCUGAAGUUGAACUGGAAGUGGCCCUUUUAACAGGAUCAUGAUCUGAAGCUCUCAAGCAAAUCCACCAAGGAAUGGUUCAAGUCCAGAUUUGAAAUGUUGUGGGGGGAUUUGAAACAGACAUGCAAAACCCUCUCAAACAUCUUGCAACUGAAGUAGUUUUGUAUGAAAAGUGUGUAAGUCAGAGACUGGUGGACAUUUGCAAAAUGCCUACAAUAAGUUAUUAGCUGAGGCCAGGGGUUCACUUACUUUCUCCACAUUUGAAUAUUAUAUCUACUGAUAUUUUUGUUGAAUACAUGAUUGAAAAAGUAUAUCAACUUUAUCGGUAGGCAUUGUAUCAAAGAGAGUAAAAUGAAAGUCAAUGAUUUCCAUGGUAUGUACAAAAAAAAUAUUCACAUGACUAGCUCCCCAAGCUAGGGCUAGAUAGCUAGGGUAGCCAUGUUAACUGGCAUGAGACGCUAACCAUGAACCAUUUGUUGUGGCAUUGGCGCAAAGUGGCAUUCUUUCGAAAACCGCAGUUAGUUCAUUUCUAUACCGCAGCAGCCCUAGUUUAAGCCCAAGAUAGCAUGUCAUCAGUGAUCAGAUAGAGAUUUGGGGAUAGACUUAAUUAGAGCCAUCUGAUGGCCAUUGUUCUUUUUAUUAAGGACAUGUCUUUACUUUUAUUGCUAGACUCGACCUUGCCGCUACAGUCUGCCUGUAGCCACUGGACGCAUUCCUCAUUGGGUCAGGUGGGAAGGGUCGGCAUCCCAAACCCCACUGGUGACUGACAGAAGUGAGUUACAGCCAAUGAGGUUGUUGUUCUCCUCAGCUUCGGUCAGUUCAUAUUAGCCGUCCCUAACUUCCACUGCCACUCUAGCCAGUUGAUCCUCCUAUUAAUAACAAAUAGGACUAGUGGCUGCUUGAGAGACUCUCGCAUGACAUAUCAGCCUAUAUGUACUGAGAACGCAUAAAAUGGUUCAACAAACUCUUGAUUAUUUUAGGAUGCAGGCACAGCAUAUCAAAAACAUUUGAAAUGUUACUCUAUCCUGGCAUGCUGAGACCCCUGGCAACUCAUUUUGUAAAUGUGAGCCAACUUCUUUUGGUCAGAACCAAAAAUAGCAGGUCAGAGGUGGGAUACAUGUGUUUAGAUGGGGACAUUUUUUUUAAAUGUCAAGACAUGUCAAACUACCUCAAAGGUGCCUGACAGGCCUCAGUCCCAAGAGAGUUAACUUCCCAGAAUGUCUUCAACAGCGUUACACUGUACACCUAUGGUUACGAGAAAAACAUUUUUAAACGAGCAAACUAUAACGGGAUUCAUGAGUGUGAGAGCCAGAUGAAGAGUUACAGAAUCGCUCCUGAUGAAGGUGGUGGUCUAAAUAAAUAGCGGCUUAAAAAAGUGAGUAAAUAAAUAGCUUGGUCUGAACUAAGCCUAGUUCCGCUGUUUGUGUUGAAAAUUCACAUUAGUCUUGUUACUGGAUGAACUGUCUCUCUACGCCAAGAUUGGUUUGAGAACCAGGAGUUGGUUAGGACCUACAUGGUACUUAGUAGCUCCAAAAUCAAAAUAUUGUCACACAGAAUGACGUUUUUCACCAUGAACAACCGAUCACUAUCACUGUAGCAUCUCGCUUCCCAUACAUAUUGAUAGUGUAUGUUGGGAUUAACUUCAGUAAUGCCCUUCCACGAAAAUAAACCUACAUCAAAAAAUGAAUUGUACCUAUCGUUUUGUACUUUGUAUUUCAACCACCGCUGUACUGGAAUCUCUUCAGUGGUAAUAAGAUGGGUGUUCGUUAAAUGAAGGUAGGCUAACACGUAACAUUAAUUAAAUUGGUCAUAGUUUAUUGUAGUAAUGUUAGGUAGACAUUUGUUAAGUUGUUGAUGUUUGAUACUUGUUCUGCAAGGCAAAUAAGGUUUUCAGUCAAGUGAAGUAAAAAGGUCUCUCAUCAGUCCCAUAUUGAACUGUUAUUGACCCCGUUGAACUUCAUCUUCCUACCGUUUACAACGGAUAGCCAUCACAACGACUUAUUUACGAUGGACCUUACACCUAAGGAUGAAGUGUCAAAUUGAAGUUAUUCAAGUAUUAAGUUAUUAUUAACUUAGUGUUACGUUGCAAAUAUUUGCUCGAUGCAACCCAUUACAUUUGAGGAGGCUGCCAUCUCGUCAGGCUUCUUUGGGAGGGCACGGUUGAAACACAGACACAAAAAACAGUUUCUUCCCCCUCGCCAUCUCACUACUGAACAACUAACCCACUGUAGCAUAUAUAUUUAUCCCUGCACUUCUCGCACUCUCCACUUCUUCUUUGCACUACUGUUGUGCAACAUUUCACAGCUACUGUAUAUAGCCAUUCCGCCUUGUACAUACUUUCUUAAACUCCUUAGUCCAUUGCACUGUUUGUUUGUUUGUUUGUAUUGUAUUGUAUUGUAUUGUAUUGUAUUGUAUUGUGUUGUAUAUUUUGUGUAAGCACACUGAGAGUCACUUUACCAAGUCAAAUUCCUUGUUUGUGCAAACUUACUUGGCCAAUAAAACCUGAUUCUGAUUCUGAAAAGAGGAACCAUUUUGAAAUAUACAGUGCUCCAAUCUGUGUGUGAUGACGAAGGACAUGAAGAGGGACAAUAGCCUCAAUUCAAUCCAUGGUACUGAUAUUCCUCACAAAAGACAGACAGCACAGUUUCUUUGUAAAUAUGUGCCUUUAAAUGGAAACAUGGCAAUCAUAAACUGCUACAAACUUGAUCAUUUCAAGAUGUAGGCACCUUAGCUCUUGGAAAUAAAUCCAACUCUCUUUUGAUGAGUGUUUUCCGUGUAUCAAACUUUGUAGACUCACCACUUGCAAAAGGUUUGGCUAUGCCCUUCCACAAGAGGCCCUUCCACUUAAGACUCUAUCAUUCCACUGAAAAGGUCAAAACAUUUUAAACAGUUUUACCCCAUCAAGGAAUACGUAGGUAGUUGGCAUAAUUCUUUACGUUCUCUCUGUGACCUGUCCAUCCAGGGCAUAUCUUAAAAGAGAUACCAUUACAACACACCAUAGCAUAUCCUUGCCUGAUUAUAACUCUGAAGACGACAACAUCAAACCUGGAGCAUAGCCUUCUCCUGAUUCAAUGGAAAGUGAUAUCUCAAACUAUAAACCCCCCCCCCAUCUGUAACGUCUUAUGGAUGAAAAGAAUUAGAUAUUUUUCAUAGCCACAACAAUGCCACACAUUUGUUGACAAGGUACAUAAAACAAAAGGCUAGUGUAGCAGAUUGUGUGUGUGUGUGUGGCUGCACUACACCACACACACACACACACACACACACACACACACACACACACACACACACACACACACACACACACACACACACACACACACACACACACACACACACACACACACACACACACAGAGAGAGCAUCUGAUACCUUUCUUCCCAAAGGGAACCGGAAAAAACUAUGUCCCCCUGCAGAGCUAAGCUAUUCUUGUGCGCCUGACAUCACAUGGCAGAUCAAGUCCCUGAAGCAGACCACCAACGAACUCCUCCAUGUUUGGUCAGGUUGACAGCUGGGGAGCAGUUGGGAGAAGAUGUGAAUGACAACUGCAUGGACGCUCCCCUGUCCCAGCAGGCGCUCCCAAGCAAACAACUAGUCAACAACAGACACCGCACCCUGACGCCUACCUCACACAUGUUCCAUUAGCCUGAGACCGUCAUUACAACACUGUGCUCAACCACACACUACUUAAUGCGCAGGCAACGUCACCCAGAGCCAAUAAUAUGACUACUGUGACUAUAUGGGCUUUCCUCCAGAACAGAUCAAGGCUUUUCACACAGAAUGUUUUAUAGUCAUACACAGUGAAACUAUUUCAAUGGUUUCAAGUCCAUGAUCACUCCCAAAACACAAGGACCCUAUGGCGAGUGAGACAGACAGACAGACAGACAGACAGACAGACAGAAAUAAAGACUUCUAUUCCAGUGUCUGCAGGCUACUGUUACUUCCCUCUCAUCUCCCUUUCCUUCUCACCACCAGCUGCUCUAUUAAUAAGCAGCCUAUCCUCGGGGCCUCCGAUAGCACACCCUACCCUACCCUACCCUACCCCCUGCACAUAUCUAGACGGAAAUAAGUCUCACCCCACAGCUUCCUCCAAGGUCAAAGCAAACACUGUUUUCAAAAACUUUAUCAACACACUCUUUGGUCAAAAAUCAAAUUGAUUCUGUUUAAAGUUGAACAUGUGCACAUGUUGUGACAGUCUUGUUAACUGUUCUUGACUAGUGGUUAGGGGCAACAGUGGUUAGGGGCAACAGUGGUUAGAGGCAACAGUGGUUAGAGGCAACAGUGGUUCCGGGUUAGUGCAGCCAUUCAGCAAUCAGAAGGUCCAAGUGUUUUUGAGCACGACACUGAACCCCCAACCACUCCUGAUGUGCUGGUUAAUGUCUGAGGCAUUAACAUUUCAAAAGCGCUACAUAAAUGCAGUCCAUUGACCAUUUUUGAGUGUCAUUUUUAACAUGGACAUUAGAAUGUAAAUUAUAAACAAAAUGUUUACAAACAGCAAGUGUCUUUGCCUGAGGGAUAUAAUACGAUAUUUCAACAAUAUUUUGUUUGAUCAUACUCGUUGAACAGCCAAUCAACGUGAUGUACUUCACCAACGGGCUCCGCUGUGGAUUCCACAUGGUCAACCAGCGGAAAAGUCGCCGACAGGGGUCGAACUAGUAACAACAGUUUGCUUACAACACGUUAGAGGGCUAGCUUGAGAAUUGAAAUACAGUCUUUGGCAAAACAGCUAAAUAUUGUUAAGACCACUCCUCUACACGAUUUGAGGUGGUUCAGUUGUUUAAAAAAAAAAAAUGUUAAAACGGGAAAGGGAUUGAGGGACUAACUUGUACAACCACUUUGACAGAGAGAGAAAAACUGAGAGAAAUGCUUAUGACAGUUCAUUGGGACAAGGGGGAUAAAAAUGACAUUCAGCACCACCAUCAAUGGGGGGCGGGGGGGGGGGCAUAGCAGGACUUGAGAGAGCUAGCUAGCCUUGGAAACAUUCUUUAGGAAUCCCAAUGCAAACAAAAGGCCAGGCUCAGACACCAAACUGAUUGUGAGUGUGGACUUUCAAUGUGAAUGAAGCCACAGUGAGUGGACGAGGGAGGGGGAGUAGGAGGUAGCUGAAGAGUGAGGUCGUGGCUGACUGCCCAAAUGGCUGCUCUCAAUUGGAAACUUCCAACUUUCUCACAGUAAACCACAGCCAGGCCUAUAAAGAAGCAGACGAUUCAUUAGCAUUCGCACCCUCUCUCCAUUCCUUUAGUGACCUAUGCAGUGAGUAGCACAGGUAGACAAGGCCACCUGCAUCAUGUGAGGGUCUCAGUCCUUUGUAGAAUGCUUUCCGCUAUCCAUUCCAUUUCAGAGAGGUAGAUAACAUACCUACUAAAAAAAGUGCACUAAGCAAACAGACUGGAACUGUAAAUAAACUGUUUCACCACACCGAGCUUUAACCGACGACACCUCAGCAGCGCCUCAAGCUGUGUCAACAGUUUGACUUCAUUGCAGCUUCAACAAUCCCAAAAUCACAGACAAACAUUCAUCAAUGGAAGAGUGGGGAGCUGUUUCUCACGUGUGAAACCCAUAAGGGAACACAGGGACCCAGAAUAUUGGCAUGAUAUCCACAUAGGAAAAUAAAAAGGGAAAACCUUGUGCCAUGUUCCAUGCCCAAUUCUCCCCCCCCCCCCCCCCCCCAGUCCUAUUCAUAUGGUGUGGAGAUUUUUUGAACAUCUUCCUGGUCCCCACGUCAAAUGUUUUCCUAUUUCCUCCAUAUUCUCUGCACUGGUUCAUUUGGUGUGCCGUGUUUUCCCAGGUAUAGAAGUACAUGGUUGUCAGAUAUAGCAGCCAAGUAAGUGAGUAUAGCCAAACCACCCACCCACUCAAAUCUAUCAAAAUAAAACCACCUCUGCAACUAUUUCACAAUCAAUCAAUCAGCAGCACACAUCUUUUCACAAGCUAAGCAAUAUUUCAAAUUCACUCCAUUCUCAGGCGUGCCACAGGGCCCUAGCUGCAGAGAGUGUGAGUGAUAGAUAGCCUAAGUAGAAUAAUGUGAGUGGGAUU